This 173-nucleotide small RNA is filed under the name Xenorhabdus doucetiae. RNAcentral's name for it is "SraJ". It matches the Rfam family "GlmZ RNA activator of glmS mRNA", at positions 1 to 178 of the family's 214-position model. Rfam says of the family: This RNA was discovered in E. coli during a large scale screen. The sraJ gene was expressed in early logarithmic phase, but its level decreased with cell growth. The record is from RNAcentral. Lineage: Bacteria; Pseudomonadati; Pseudomonadota; Gammaproteobacteria; Enterobacterales; Morganellaceae.
GUAGAUACUCAUCCUACUCCUUAUGACAGCCUGUGGCUUCAUAAACCUCAGGAUGAUGUAGAGCUGAUUGUCAGUGCCUAUGGUCCAUGUUAUAGAUGAAUGAGCAUUCUGUCUUUUCAUCGCAAACCGGACAUAACGUUGAGUGAGGCACUAUCCGUCUGUAGACCUGAUUG